This 253-nucleotide ribosomal RNA is filed under the name uncultured bacterium. RNAcentral describes it as "partial 16S ribosomal RNA". It matches the Rfam family "Bacterial small subunit ribosomal RNA", at positions 524 to 776 of the family's 1533-position model. The record is from RNAcentral.
UACGUAGGGUGCAAGCGUUAAUCGGAAUUACUGGGCGUAAAGCGUGCGCAGGCGGCGCGUUAAGACAGGUGUGAAAGCCCCGAGCUUAACUUGGGAAUUGCGCUUGUGACUGGCGUGCUGGAGUGUGGCAGGGGGAGGUGGAAUUCCACGUGUAGCAGUGAAAUGAGUAGAGAUGUGGAGGAACACCGAUGGCGAAGGCAGCCUCCUGGGCCAGCACUGACGCUCAUGCACGAAAGCGUGGGGAGCAAACAGG